Molecule: ribosomal RNA, 520 nt
Filed under: uncultured Glomus
Lineage: Eukaryota; Fungi; Glomeromycota; Glomeromycetes; Glomerales; Glomeraceae
Description: SSU rRNA
Rfam family: Eukaryotic small subunit ribosomal RNA
Source: RNAcentral
AGCAGCCGCGGUAAUUCCAGCUCCAAUAGCGUAUAUUAAAGUUGUUGCAGUUAAAAAGCUCGUAGUUGAAUUUCGAGACCGGUCUACUGGUCGUGCUUUUGUACGUACUGGUUUUAUUGGUUUCUCCUUUCUGACGAACUAUAAUGCCAUUAAUUUGGUGUUAUAGGGAAUCAGGACUGUUACUUUGAAAAAAUUAGAGUGUUUAAAGCAGGCUCACGCUUGAAUACAUUAGCAUGGAAUAACGGAAUAGGACGUUUGAUUUUAUUUUGUUGGUUUCUAGGAUCGACGUAAUGAUUAAUAGGGAUAGUUGGGGGCAUUAGUAUUCAAUUGUCAGAGGUGAAAUUCUUGGAUUUAUUGAAGACUAACUACUGCGAAAGCAUUUGCCAAGGAUGUUUUCAUUAAUCAAGAACGAAAGUUAGGGGAUCGAAGACGAUCAGAUACCGUCGUAGUCUUAACCAUAAACUAUGCCGACUAGGGAUCGGAUGAUGUAAUUUUUAAUGACUCAUUCGGCGCCUUACGG